RNAcentral lists this ribosomal RNA (468 nucleotides) under uncultured bacterium. RNAcentral's name for it is "partial 16S ribosomal RNA". It matches the Rfam family "Bacterial small subunit ribosomal RNA", at positions 28 to 507 of the family's 1533-position model. The record is from RNAcentral.
GACGAACGCUGGCGGCGUGCUUAACACAUGCAAGUCGAACGGAAAGGCCCUGCUUUUGUGGGGUGCUCGAGUGGCGAACGGGUGAGUAACACGUGUGUAACCUGCCCUUGACUUUGGGAUAACUUCAGGAAACUGGGGCUUAUACCGGAUAGGAGCUCCUGCUGCAUGGUGGGGGUUGGAAAGUUUCGGCGGUUGGGGAUGGACUCGCGGCUUAUCAGCUUGUUGGUGGGGUAGUGGCUUACCAAGGCUUUGACGGGUAGCCGGCCUGAGAGGGUGACCGGCCACAUUGGGACUGAGAUACGGCCCAGACUCCUACGGGAGGCAGCAGUGGGGAAUAUUGCACAAUGGGCGGAAGCCUGAUGCAGCAACGCCGCGUGCGGGAUAACGGCCUUCGGGUUGUAAACCGCUUUCGCCUGUGACGAAGCGUGAGUGACGGUAAUGGGUAAAGAAGCACCGGCUAACUACGUG